GUCCUGAGAUAAUGUCACUGUUUCUGUGUUUGAGUGUGAUCCAUUAACCCAGGCCACAGUCAAAUGCAACCCCUGGAACUUCACCUGAAAUGAGAGCAUGUUGUGGUUUCUCAGAGCCCUGCAGCUGCUGGUGCUGAACAGCUCUCUGGGGAUAGCAGAAUCACAGAAUGUUCAAGGACUCAGAUUUUACAGAUAAAGUCAACCCCUUGACUUCAAAGAUGUGAAAAUGAAGGCAGAGAAAGAUCCUGAUCCUACUCAUCUUUCAAGAAUUGUCUCCAUUUCUUAGCUUUCUCUACUCCUCCCCCUUUUCCAGUUAUUUUAGGCUAGAAGCUGUGCCCCCAAAGACAUCGACUUCCAAGAUCACUGAGGCAGAAACACAGGGAUGGAGCAGGCACUUAGCUCUUCAUGCCUCAACCGAGAAGGGCACCAAUUAUCUUCCUAUAGGUAUUGUUCAGAACAUGAUCCAUGGACCUGACCCACGUGUAAAAAGAUCUGGAAUUUAGAAGAGCCCAGAAACUACGGUGACUGCCAACUGCUUCUGUCAUAGUCACCUAUGAUCGUCAAUCAUCAGGGAAGUCCUUAAUAAAA
This is a long non-coding RNA of Fukomys damarensis (Damara mole-rat), 588 nucleotides long. RefSeq lists it as uncharacterized. NCBI's taxonomy places the organism in Eukaryota, Metazoa, Chordata, Mammalia, Rodentia, Bathyergidae. The transcript is spliced from 4 exons. The record is from RefSeq and is a predicted model, not a curated record.